Epinephelus fuscoguttatus (brown-marbled grouper) is the source of this 869-nucleotide long non-coding RNA. RefSeq lists it as uncharacterized. NCBI's taxonomy places the organism in Eukaryota, Metazoa, Chordata, Actinopteri, Perciformes, Serranidae. The record is from RefSeq and is a predicted model, not a curated record. The transcript has 4 exons.
ACUCUUCGCAAAUUACGCAAGUGCUCCUCCUCCCCCUCGUGUCAAAGCGAGUGUCGAGAUAAAAUCAACCAUCCUUCUUGUCAAGAAAAUAAAAAACACCAUGAGAGUGAAUUACGAAAAAGCAGUCAGUUUGGUUACAAUGCUAACGAAUGUGGGUAAAUCAUCUUGGAAUACUGCUUCAGUGUUCCCAAGCUGGAAUAACAGAAGGUUUUCCUGUUCUUCCCACACUGCCAACAUGGAGUGAACGCAGCAUUGGUCAGGAAAGAUAAAGCAGAAAGAUGUCUCAAGAAUCCCUUUAAAGGAGCCACCAGUGUGCCCAGGGACCGAUGAGCAGCAUCCAGAGACCAGCACUCGUCCCCUGCCCGGAGUCUGAGGAGCAGUGAACUGAAGAGUUGAUGUGUUCAGAAGCCAGUGUAAAUACUCGUCCAGUGAACGCCUCAUUGCUGCCACGAUGGAACACGGAUCCAGCUGGAGGAACAAGUGCUGUGUGGGCUCCCUGAAGUGGUGCAACACUGGGUCACUGGAGAGCCACAACGUGUUUGGGAACAGAACAGUCUGUGUUAUUUCAGCACAGCCUGUUGGAUGAAGGGCCAUUUCACAGGCAUUAUGGAUUAAUCUUUGGCAGGAUCUCCCCAGGAUCAAACAAAACUGGAUGUUUAACCUCACGUGUCCUAGAGCUGAGAGGUCUCUUGUGAUAAACCAGGAUAGAGAGGAUUGAGUCUGACCCACAUUGGGUUAAACAUCACAUACUUGUAAAUUUAUUUAAACUGACUCCUUAUGAAAAGAUGAAAAUAUAAUGUGUAUACACAUCCUUCCUGAGACAUAAUCCAAACCCUGAGAAAUGAUUAAAUUCAUAACAUUAUGCUCCA